AGCGAACGCUGGCGGCAGGCCUAACACAUGCAAGUCGAACGAACCUUUCGGGGUUAGUGGCGGACGGGUGAGUAACACGUGGGAACGUGCCUUUAGGUUCGGAAUAACUCAGGGAAACUUGUGCUAAUACCGAAUGUGCCCUUCGGGGGAAAGAUUAAUCGCCUUUGGAGCGGCCCGCGGCCGAUUAACUAGUUGGUUGAGGUAAUGGCUCACCAAGGCGAAGAUCCGUAACUGGUCUGAGAGGCUGAUAGGUCACAUUGGAACUGAGACACGGCCCAAACUGGUAGAGGAGGCAGAGGGAGGGAAUAGGGAUAAAGGGAGGGAAAUCGGAGGAAGCGAAUACGCGUGAGAGAUGAAGGAAGUCGUUGCGUAAAGCUCUGUGAUAUGGGAAGAAAAGGACUGUACCAUAGGAGAAAGCCCCGGAUAAAUACGGG
This 434-nucleotide ribosomal RNA is filed under the name uncultured bacterium. RNAcentral's name for it is "partial 16S ribosomal RNA". It matches the Rfam family "Bacterial small subunit ribosomal RNA", at positions 29 to 507 of the family's 1533-position model. The record is from RNAcentral.